This 434-nucleotide ribosomal RNA is filed under the name uncultured Lachnospiraceae bacterium. Its description in RNAcentral is "partial 16S ribosomal RNA". It matches the Rfam family "Bacterial small subunit ribosomal RNA", at positions 341 to 792 of the family's 1533-position model. The record is from RNAcentral. Lineage: Bacteria; Bacillati; Bacillota; Clostridia; Lachnospirales; Lachnospiraceae.
ACGGAAGGCAGCAGUGGGGAAUAUUGCACAAUGGGGGAAACCCUGAUGCAGCGACGCCGCGUGAGUGAAGAAGUAUUUCGGUAUGUAAAGCUCUAUCAGCAGGAAAGAAAAUGACGGUACCUGACUAAGAAGCCCCGGCUAAAUACGUGCCAGCAGCCGCGGUAAUACGUAUGGAGCAAGCGUUAUCCGGAUUUACUGGGUGUAAAGGGUGUGUAGGCGGCAUGGCAAGUCAGAUGUGAAAGACCGGGGCUCAACUCCGGGGCUGCAUUUGAAACUGUCAGGCUGGAGUACAGGAGAGGCAGGCGGAAUUCCUAGUGUAGCGGUGAAAUGCGUAGAUAUUAGGAGGAACACCAGUGGCGAAGGCGGCCUGCUGGACUGUUACUGACGCUGAGGCACGAAAGCGUGGGGAGCAAACAGGAUUAGAUACCCUAGUA